Molecule: ribosomal RNA, 724 nt
Filed under: Cameronia multiovata
Lineage: Eukaryota; Metazoa; Nematoda; Chromadorea; Rhabditida; Thelastomatidae
Description: eukaryotic LSU rRNA
Rfam family: Eukaryotic large subunit ribosomal RNA
Source: RNAcentral
CUUUGAGAGAGAGUUCAUGAGGGCGUGAACCGCUGAGAAGGAAWCGGAUAGAGUUGACGAAACUCGGUGGCAUUCAGCCGAUUAGGUGCCGGAUGCCCGCGGUUUUGUUUCAGCCCGUAUCUUCGGGCUGUUCGAAGCCGCUGGUUGCGUCGGCAUCGAAUCGGUGUAUUUGCCAUCGGUAUGCGCCGAGAAGCUCGCUGUGGUGUGCUGAGGCCGUGCCAAAGAGGACCGUGCUCGCAUGGGUGCGGAAACCUUUGGUGGUUGAUGUGUGUCCGCGGUGAGUUUGCGUUGGUGUGUUGCCCCGCUAGGGCGCGACGGCUACUGCGUGACUGGUGUGGCUAUUGGGCGGUCGCGUGCGACUUGCCUAUAGUUGAUGCUGGUCCGUUGGUGGUGCAGUUGCGUUGGGCCGGCACAUCUCGGUGUAAAAGUUGACCACCUAUCCGACCCGUCUUGAAACACGGACCAAGGAGUUUAGCAUAUGCGCGAGUCAUUGGGUGGUAAACCUAAAGGCGUAAUGAAAGUAAAGGUUGCUUUAGUGUAACUGAUAUGGGAUCCGCAUGGUUUCGGCCGUGCGGCGCACCAUAGCCCCGUCCCCGUUGCUUGCAAUAGGGCGGAGGUAGAGCGUAUACGCUGAGACCCGAAAGAUGGUGAACUAUGCCUGAGCAGGAUGAAGCCAGAGGAAACUCUGGUGGAGGUCCGAAGCGGUUCUGACGUGCAAAUCGAU